UAUGGGUAAUUGUGUGCCAGCCGCGGUAAUACGUAUGGUGCAAGCGUUAUCCGGAUUUACUGGGUGUAAAGGGAGCGUAGACGGAGUGGCAAGUCUGAUGUGAAAACCCGGGGCUCAACCCCGGGACUGCAUUGGAAACUGUCAAUCUAGAGUACCGGAGAGGUAAGCGGAAUUCCUAGUGUAGCGGUGAAAUGCGUAGAUAUUAGGAGGAACACCAGUGGCGAAGGCGGCUUACUGGACGGUAACUGACGUUGAGGCUCGAAAGCGUGGGGAGCAAACAGG
This 282-nucleotide ribosomal RNA is filed under the name Mediterraneibacter faecis JCM 15917. Its description in RNAcentral is "[Ruminococcus] faecis JCM 15917 partial 16S ribosomal RNA". It matches the Rfam family "Bacterial small subunit ribosomal RNA", at positions 492 to 776 of the family's 1533-position model. Lineage: Bacteria; Bacillati; Bacillota; Clostridia; Lachnospirales; Lachnospiraceae. The record is from RNAcentral.